AAAUUCUGGGUUUUCGAAUUGAAAGAGAUAUUGAGAGAGAUCAAGAAUUCUCACUAUUUAGUAGAUUCAUGGACCCAAUUGAAUUCAGUGGGAUCUUUCAUUAACAUUUUUUUUCACCAAGAACGUUUUAUAAAACUCUUGGACCCCCGAAUUUUUAGUAUCCUACUUUCACGCAAUUCACAGGGUUCAACAAGCAAUCGAUAUUUCACGAUCAGGGGUGUAGUACUAUUUGUUGUAGUAGCGGUCCUUAUAUAUCGUAUUAACAAUCGAAAUAUGGUCAAAAGAAAAAAUAUCUACUUAACAGGGCUUGACGUGGAUUGAACGGUUUAUGAUAGGUUCUGAUACCACUUGUCAUGAGUCGAGAUUUUUAGUAUCCUACUUUCACGCAAUUCACAGGGUUCAACAAGCAAUCGAUAUUUCACGAUCAGGGGUGUAGUACUAUUUGUUGUAGUAGCGGUCCUUAUAUAUCGUAUUAACAAUCGAAAUAUGGUCGAAAGAAAAAAUCUCUACUUGACAGGGCUU
This 522-nucleotide long non-coding RNA is filed under the name Durio zibethinus. RNAcentral describes it as "long non-coding RNA (DZIB_LNC002078)". Lineage: Eukaryota; Viridiplantae; Streptophyta; Magnoliopsida; Malvales; Malvaceae. The record is from RNAcentral.